GGCGGGCGUCCCUUGCUGGGGCUCCGCGCCCGGCUCGACAGAGCGGGCGUGGGGCGGGCGCCGAGGGCACUGGGGGCCGAGGCCGAGUCCCCGCCCGCUGUCCCCUCGCCCUCCUUCCGAGAAGUUUGCCGUUCGACCUUGCAGAUGGAAACGACGGCGUUCAGACGAGGGCGUCGCCCGCCCAGGCUCCCGGGAGCGAGGGCAUCGGGGCUGCCCGGAAUCGGAUUCCUCGGCGGAUUACGCGGCCCAGUCGGCACGCGAGGCGGGCCCCGGGCGACCAGGAAGCCCCCGGCGCGCACGAAAGCAGCGAGGGCGGAGGUUGGGGGGGCUGGGGGCGGGGCGGCCGCGUUGCGUGACCUGCAAGCCGGCGGCCGCACGCACUUCGUGCUCCGGGCGGCCCUCGCCCCGCGGGCGGCGCAGGUGCCGCUGGAGGCCGGCGCCCGGCUGCCACUUUACAGCCCCGGCGGGGAGGGCAGUCACGCUAUAUUUCAGGGACUGGGACGGAGUUCGCGGAAUCUCCUUGUUAUCGGAACGUGGGUAGCGUUGGGUAAUAACCGCUCGGACAGGAUGUAGGAAGCGCAGUGGGAACAGAGCUGUCCCGUCUAAUGGGCAGUAAUGGAGUGGAGAAAUAGAAAGAAGGAGAAAGGUGAAAAAUGUGGAAAGAGAUAAAGGGAAAGACUAAGAUCAACAGAGAACCAAGAAAAAAUUUUUUUAAAAAAAUACAGGGUUUUGAUCAGUGAUGGACCACUGUUGAUCUAGGCAUGCUGGUAUGUCUGCAAUCCCAGCGACUUCAGAGGCCUACACAGGGAAGAUCGAAGGUUUGAAGCCAGCCUGAGCAAUUGAGCAAGAACCAGUCUCAAAUUAAAAUCAAAAGGGGUG
This 879-nucleotide long non-coding RNA is filed under the name Heterocephalus glaber (naked mole-rat). Its description in RNAcentral is "lncRNA (ENSHGLG00100035302.1)". Lineage: Eukaryota; Metazoa; Chordata; Mammalia; Rodentia; Bathyergidae. The record is from RNAcentral.